Megalops atlanticus (tarpon) is the source of this 73-nucleotide non-coding RNA. The record is from the annotation of a GenBank genome assembly. Lineage: Eukaryota; Metazoa; Chordata; Actinopteri; Elopiformes; Megalopidae.
AGCAAUGUAGCACAGUGGUAAGGAGCAGGGCUUGUAACCGAGAGAUUGCUGGUUCGAUUCCCUGCCGGGGCAC